This 1346-nucleotide ribosomal RNA is filed under the name uncultured bacterium. Its description in RNAcentral is "bacterial SSU rRNA". It matches the Rfam family "Bacterial small subunit ribosomal RNA", at positions 28 to 1381 of the family's 1533-position model. The record is from RNAcentral.
GACGAACGCUGGCGGCGUGCUUAACACAUGCAAGUCGAACGGAAAGGCCCUGCUUUUGUGGGGUGCUCGAGUGGCGAACGGGUGAGUAACACGUGAGUAACCUGCCCUUGACUUUGGGAUAACUUCAGGAAACUGGGGCUAAUACCGGAUAGGAGCUCCUGCUGCAUGGUGGGGGUUGGAAAGUUUCGGCGGUUGGGGAUGGACUCGCGGCUUAUCAGCUUGUUGGUGGGGUAGUGGCUUACCAAGGCUUUGACGGGUAGCCGGCCUGAGAGGGUGACCGGCCACAUUGGGACUGAGAUACGGCCCAGACUCCUACGGGAGGCAGCAGUGGGGAAUAUUGCACAAUGGGCGGAAGCCUGAUGCAGCAACGCCGCGUGCGGGAUGACGGCCUUCGGGUUGUAAACCGCUUUCGCCUGUGACGAAGCGUGAGUGACGGUAAUGGGUAAAGAAGCACCGGCUAACUACGUGCCAGCAGCCGCGGUGAUACGUAGGGUGCGAGCGUUGUCCGGAUUUAUUGGGCGUAAAGGGCUCGUAGGUGGUUGAUCGCGUCGGAAGUGUAAUCUUGGGGCUUAACCCUGAGCGUGCUUUCGAUACGGGUUGACUUGAGGAAGGUAGGGGAGAAUGGAAUUCCUGGUGGAGCGGUGGAAUGCGCAGAUAUCAGGAGGAACACCAGUGGCGAAGGCGGUUCUCUGGGCCUUUCCUGACGCUGAGGAGCGAAAGCGUGGGGAGCGAACAGGCUUAGAUACCCUGGUAGUCCACGCUGUAAACGGUGGGUACUAGGUGUGGGGUCCAUUCCACGGGUUCCGUGCCGUAGCUAACGCUUUAAGUACCCCGCCUGGGGAGUACGGCCGCAAGGCUAAAACUCAAAGGAAUUGACGGGGCCCCGCACAAGCGGCGGAGCAUGCGGAUUAAUUCGAUGCAACGCGUAGAACCUUACCUGGGUUUGACAUGGAUCGGGAGUGCCCAGAGAUGGGUGUGCCUCUUUUGGGGUCGGUUCACAGGUGGUGCAUGGCUGUCGUCAGCUCGUGUCGUGAGAUGUUGGGUUGAGUCCCGCAACGAGCGCAACCCUUGUUCACUGUUGCCAGCACGUUAUGGUGGGGACUCAGUGGAGACCGCCGGGGUCAACUCGGAGGAAGGUGGGGAUGACGUCAAGUCAUCAUGCCCCUUAUGUCCAGGGCUUCACGCAUGCUACAAUGGCUGGUACAGAGAGUGGCGAGCCUGUGAGGGUGAGCGAAUCUCGGAAAGCCGGUCUCAGUUCGGAUUGGGGUCUGCAACUCGACCUCAUGAAGUCGGAGUCGCUAGUAAUCGCAGAUCAGCAACGCUGCGGUGAAUACGUUCCCGGGGCU